Non-coding RNA from Xenopus tropicalis (tropical clawed frog), 45 nucleotides. The record is from Rfam. Lineage: Eukaryota; Metazoa; Chordata; Amphibia; Anura; Pipidae.
ACAAAGGCUCUUCUCAGAGCCACACACUUUCUCUUUAGUAGAUCU